RNAcentral lists this RNase P RNA (352 nucleotides) under uncultured Lacticaseibacillus sp. Its description in RNAcentral is "Bacterial RNase P class B". It matches the Rfam family "Bacterial RNase P class B". From Rfam's summary of the family: Ribonuclease P (RNase P) is a ubiquitous endoribonuclease, found in archaea, bacteria and eukarya as well as chloroplasts and mitochondria. Its best characterised activity is the generation of mature 5'-ends of tRNAs by cleaving the 5'-leader elements of precursor-tRNAs. Lineage: Bacteria; Bacillati; Bacillota; Bacilli; Lactobacillales; Lactobacillaceae. The record is from RNAcentral.
UUGAGUAAUCGCGCCUGGCUAUUGUCAGGUGAGGAAAGUCCAUGCCCGCACAAGCUGUGAUGCUUGUAGUGUUCGUGUCAGGCCCAAUAAGCCUGAGUACCUUCGGGUAACGGCGACUAAAAGCGCUAAAACUUCGGUCACGCGUGAUUAAGUCUGAAAGUGCCACAGAGACGAUGCCCUUGAGAAAUCAAGGGAUUGGAACGGGUAAACCCCGCGAGCGAGUAACCCAAACUUUGGUAGGGGCGCAAGGCCUAGGGAACUGAACCGAUGGCCCUAACAGCGUAAGCUGAGAUAGAUGAUUACUGAAGGCUGGAUGGCCUGACAUCCAGCUGGAACAAAACAUGGCUUAUAG